GAGGAAAAGAAACUAACAAGGAUUCCCCUAGUAACGGCGAGUGAAGCGGGAUGAGCUCAAAUUUAAAAUCUGGUGUCCUUUGGGCAUCCGAGUUGUAGUCUAGAGAAGCAUUUUCCGUGUCGGACCAUGUACAAGUCUCCUGGAACGGAGCGUCAUAGAGGGUGAGAAUCCCGUUCUUGACAUGGACCCCCGAUGCUAUGUGAUGUGCUCUCAAAGAGUCGAGUUGUUUGGGAUUGCAGCUCAAAAUGGGAGGUAAAUUCCUUCUAAAGCUAAAUAUUGGCGAGAGACCGAUAGCGAACAAGUACCGUGAGGGAAAGAUGAAAAGCACUUUGGAAAGAGAGUUAAACAGUACGUGAAAUUGUUAAAAGGGAAACGAUUGAAGUCAGUCGCGUCUACUUGGACUCAGCCUUACCUCGGUUUGGUGCAUUUCCUUGUAGACGGGCCAGCGUCGAUGUUAGUCGCUGGAAAAAGGUGUAGGGAAUGUGGCUCUUUCGGGAGUGUUAUAGCCCUAUGUCAUAUGCAGUGACCAGUAUCGAGUGUAACAGCACGCUUUUGCGGUGCUUGUGCUGGCGUAAUGGCUUUAAACGACCCG
This 592-nucleotide ribosomal RNA is filed under the name uncultured Cantharellaceae. RNAcentral's name for it is "eukaryotic LSU rRNA". It matches the Rfam family "Eukaryotic large subunit ribosomal RNA", at positions 53 to 651 of the family's 3401-position model. The record is from RNAcentral. Lineage: Eukaryota; Fungi; Basidiomycota; Agaricomycetes; Cantharellales; Hydnaceae.